AAUCAACCGAGAUUCCCCCAGUAGCGGCGAGCGAACGGGGAGCAGCCCAGAGCCUGAAUCAGUGUGUGUGUUAGUGGAAGCGUCUGGAAAGGCGUGCGAUACAGGGUGACAGCCCCGUACACAAAAAUGCACAUAUUGUGAGCUCGAUGAGUAGGGCGGGACACGUGGUAUCCUGUCUGAAUAUGGGGGGACCAUCCUCCAAGGCUAAAUACUCCUGACUGACCGAUAGUGAACCAGUACCGUGAGGGAAAGGCGAAAAGAACCCCGGCGAGGGGAGUGAAAAAGAACCUGAAACCGUGUACGUACAAGCAGUGGGAGCACGCUUAGGCGUGUGACUGCGUACCUUUUGUAUAAUGGGUCAGCGACUUAUAUUCUGUAGCAAGGUUAACCGAAUAGGGGAGCCGAAGGGAAACCGAGUCUUAACUGGGCGUUAAGUUGCAGGGUAUAGACCCGAAACCCGGUGAUCUAGCCAUGGGCAGGUUGAAGGUUGGGUAACACUAACUGGAGGACCGAACCGACUAAUGUUGAAAAAUUAGCGGAUGACUUGUGGCUGGGGGUGAAAGGCCAAUCAAACCGGGAGAUAGCUGGUUCUCCCCGAAAGCUAUUUAGGUAGCGCCUCGUGAAUUCAUCUCCGGGGGUAGAGCACUGUUUCGGCAAGGGGGUCAUCCCGA
Molecule: ribosomal RNA, 671 nt
Filed under: Escherichia coli
Lineage: Bacteria; Pseudomonadati; Pseudomonadota; Gammaproteobacteria; Enterobacterales; Enterobacteriaceae
Description: partial 23S ribosomal RNA
Rfam family: Bacterial large subunit ribosomal RNA
Source: RNAcentral